This 900-nucleotide ribosomal RNA is filed under the name uncultured bacterium. RNAcentral's name for it is "bacterial SSU rRNA". It matches the Rfam family "Bacterial small subunit ribosomal RNA", at positions 26 to 923 of the family's 1533-position model. The record is from RNAcentral.
AAGUUACGGCUUGGCGGCAGGCUAACACAUGCAAGUCGAGCGGUAGAGAGAAGCUUGCUUCUCUUGAGAGCGGCGGACGGGUGAGUAAUGCCUAGGAAUCUGCCUGGUAGUGGGGGAUAACGUUCGGAAACGAACGCUAAUACCGCAUACGUCCUACGGGAGAAAGCAGGGGACCUUCGGGCCUUGCGCUAUCAGAUGAGCCUAGGUCGGAUUAGCUAGUUGGUGAGGUAAUGGCUCACCAAGGCGACGAUCCGUAACUGGUCUGAGAGGAUGAUCAGUCACACUGGAACUGAGACACGGUCCAGACUCCUACGGGAGGCAGCAGUGGGGAAUAUUGGACAAUGGGCGAAAGCCUGAUCCAGCCAUGCCGCGUGUGUGAAGAAGGUCUUCGGAUUGUAAAGCACUUUAAGUUGGGAGGAAGGGCAUUAACCUAAUACGUUAGUGUUUUGACGUUACCGACAGAAUAAGCACCGGCUAACUCUGUGCCAGCAGCCGCGGUAAUACAGAGGGUGCAAGCGUUAAUCGGAAUUACUGGGCGUAAAGCGCGCGUAGGUGGUUUGUUAAGUUGGAUGUGAAAUCCCCGGGCUCAACCUGGGAACUGCAUUCAAAACUGACUGACUAGAGUAUGGUAGAGGGUGGUGGAAUUUCCUGUGUAGCGGUGAAAUGCGUAGAUAUAGGAAGGAACACCAGUGGCGAAGGCGACCACCUGGACUAAUACUGACACUGAGGUGCGAAAGCGUGGGGAGCAAACAGGAUUAGAUACCCUGGUAGUCCACGCCGUAACGAUGUCAACUAGCCGUUGGAAGCCUUGAGCUUUUAGUGGCGCAGCUAACGCAUUAAGUUGACCGCCUGAGGAGUACGGCCGCAAGGUUAAAACUCAAAUGAAUUGACGGAAGGGCG